UACGUAGGGUGCGAGCGUUGUCCGGAAUUAUUGGGCGUAAAGAGCUCGUAGGCGGUGUGUCACGUCGGCCGUGAAAACCUGCAGCUUAACUGUGGGCGUGCGGUCGAUACGGGCAUCACUGGAGUUCGGCAGGGGAGACUGGAAUUCCUGGUGUAGCGGUGAAAUGCGCAGAUAUCAGGAGGAACACCGAUGGCGAAGGCAGUGUUCUGGGCCAGUACUGACGCUGAGGAGCGAAAGCGUGGGUAGCAAACAGG
RNAcentral lists this ribosomal RNA (254 nucleotides) under uncultured bacterium. RNAcentral describes it as "partial 16S ribosomal RNA". It matches the Rfam family "Bacterial small subunit ribosomal RNA", at positions 524 to 776 of the family's 1533-position model. The record is from RNAcentral.